CAUAAAGUGCGGUUAUACAUGCAGUGAGCGGACAGAAGGGAGCUUGCUCCCGGAUGUUAGCGGCGACCGGGGUGAGUACACGUGGGUAACCUGCCUGUAAGACUGGGAUAACUCCGGGAAACCGGAGCUAAUACCGGAUAGUUCCUUGAACCGCAUGGUUCAAGGAUGAAAGACGGUUUCGGCUGUCACUUACAGAUGGACCCGCGGCGCAUUAGCUAGUUGGUGAGGUAACGGCUCACCAAGGCGACGAUGCGUAGCCGACCUGAGAGGGUGAUCGGCCACACUGGGACUGAGACACGGCCCAGACUCCUACGGGAGGCAGCAGUAGGGAAUCUUCCGCAAUGGACGAAAGUCUGACGGAGCAACGCCGCGUGAGUGAUGAAGGUUUUCGGAUCGUAAAGCUCUGUUGUUAGGGAAGAACAAGUGCAAGAGUAACUGCUUGCACCUUGACGGUACCUAACCAGAAAGCCACGGCUAACUACGUGCCAGCAGCCGCGGUAAUACGUAGGUGGCAAGCGUUGUCCGGAAUUAUUGGGCGUAAAGGGCUCGCAGGCGGUUUCUUAAGUCUGAUGUGAAAGCCCCCGGCUCAACCGGGGAGGGUCAUUGGAAACUGGGAAACUUGGUGCAGAAGAGGAGAGUGGAAUUCCACGUGUAGCGGUGAAAUGCGUAGAGAUGUGGAGGAACACCAGUGGCGAAGGCGACUCUCUGGUCUGUAACUGACGCUGAGGAGCGAAAGCGUGGGGAGCGAACAGGAUUAGAUACCCUGGUAGUCCACGCCGUAAACGAUGAGUGCUAAGUGUUAGGGGGUUUCCGCCCCUUAGUGCUGCAGCUAACGCAUUAAGCACUCCGCCUGGGGAGUACGGUCGCAAGACUGAAACUCAAAGGAAUUGACGGGGGCCCGCACAAGCGGUGGAGCAUGUGGUUUAAUUCGAAGCAACGCGAAGAACCUUACCAGGUCUUGACAUCCUCUGACAACCCUAGAGAUAGGGCUUUCCCUUCGGGGACAGAGUGACAGGUGGUGCAUGGUUGUCGUCAGCUCGUGUCGUGAGAUGUUGGGUUAAGUCCCGCAACGAGCGCAACCCUUGAUCUUAGUUGCCAGCAUUCAGUUGGGCACUCUAAGGUGACUGCCGGUGACAAACCGGAGGAAGGUGGGGAUGACGUCAAAUCAUCAUGCCCCUUAUGACCUGGGCUACACACGUGCUACAAUGGACAGAACAAAGGGCUGCGAGACCGCAAGGUUUAGCCAAUCCCACAAAUCUGUUCUCAGUUCGGAUCGCAGUCUGCAACUCGACUGCGUGAAGCUGGAAUCGCUAGUAAUCGCGGAUCAGCAUGCCGCGGUGAAUACGUUCCCGGGCCUUGUACACACCGCCCGUCACACCACGAGAGUUUGCAACACCGAAGUCGGUGAGGUAACCUUUAUGGAGCCAGCCGGAAUGCAGGCGACUGC
RNAcentral lists this ribosomal RNA (1447 nucleotides) under Bacillus safensis. Its description in RNAcentral is "bacterial SSU rRNA". It matches the Rfam family "Bacterial small subunit ribosomal RNA". The record is from RNAcentral. Lineage: Bacteria; Bacillati; Bacillota; Bacilli; Caryophanales; Bacillaceae.